AUUUGUUUAAAGUAGUAAUUGUAGGAGAGAUCCCUUGCAAGAACCAUAACACCAAAAUGAUAAUUAAAAAACUGUCGGCAUUUUAGCUGUCAGUAAUCAGAACACCUAUUUCAUUUAAUAACGGGAAGAAGAAAAAAAGAUUAGAUGAGAAGCUGAGGGCCUCAGGUUCUCUAGCUCGCACUUGCGGAUGAAAAUACAGAUUAUGACAGUGCUUACCUUUCCAUGAUUAGAUUUUUAGAGUUUUCUGUGGUGAUGCUCUCUCUGGUAUUCUUAUCCAUUUGAACUAGUGAAAUAAAGGAAACUAGCCAGUACAGUACUAUGUGCUGUUUGUCAUAACUAAUUCAAAGAAAAAUAUAAAUCUGCUGUCGAUGAUUUAUGUGCACAUCUUUUUUCUCUUAAUCAUAAUAAUCAGGGAAACGACCGACGAUUCGAUAUUGAAUCUGAGACCAGAAAAGCACGUACGUGUUAGCCAAUCUUCCAUCUAACAGCUAGAAUCUGAGACCAGAAAAGCACGUACGCGUUAGCCAAUCUUCCAUGUAACAGCUAGCCAGAAGCUGGCAACCCCUAACUAGUGAUAUUGACUGAUCGCAUAAAGUAAUCCCAAGAAAGCAGACAUCUUUUUCCCUCACUAAAAAGCAAACCAUUCAUCUUUAACUAGUACCGAAUGAACACUGGAUCAUACUUGGGCAUAUCACUGAUGUUUGUGUAAGAUUCUAGUACUUGAAAGAAUAAUUAUUUCUUGGUUAUUCUUUUAUGCAUUUCCACAUGGCAACGGAUGCAGUGCCUACAAAGUACAGGUUGUAACUAGUAAUAAUGUUUUAACCUUGAGUAGUUUCUUACCCAUAUCUUUAAUCAGGAUUCCAGCCAAGCCAUGUGCAUAAUUUUACCAUGGUGUAGAAAUCAACUAUAAGCUAAUUAGAUAGGCUUGGAUUCUAAAAUUGUUUUUGAGUAUAUUGCUAAUUAUAAUUUGUAAUUGUUAUGCUUGAAUCACUUCUUGAUUAACGUAUUAGUGAUGUUCAUUAGCAAGAUCCAUAUAUAACUAAAUACUAAUAACUUUGAUUUGACAUCCUAAUUACUGAUUUUUUUUUUAUUUUAUGUUCAGGAUAUGCUAUCUCAGCAAGAUCAACUUGAGCUUGCUGCCUGCUAUAUAAAACAAAUGAGAGAAAGAGUAGAGAAGCUGAAGAGGGUGAAGGAACAAGCAAUCACAACAAUUCAAACAAGCAGGAGCGGCAUGGCUAGUAUGAUGAUUGGAUUGAGAUUGCCGGUGAUUGAACUGAGAGAUUUUGGGUCGAGCAUAGAAGUGGUGUUGGUUAGUGGGUUGAACAAGAACUUCAUGUUCUAUGAAGUUAUUACUGUUCUCAGCGAUGAAGGAGCUGAAGUUGUCAGCGCUAGCUAUUCAACUGUGGGUGAUAAGGUUUUCCACACUAUUCAUGCACAGGUGAUUAUUAAAUACAACUCUCUUACCAAAUUUAACUAUUCUAACCACAUUUUUCUGCAGGUACAAAUUGUAUGUAUAAAUAUCUCUAUAUAUAUGCAAACUAAAGUGUUAUUUACUCGGUAAAUGUAUUAGGUUAGAAUUUCCAGAGUUGGCGUGGAGACUUCAAGAGUGUGGGAAAGAUUGCAAGAACUGAUUUCCUAAGAGUUUGUAUAUGGGAGGGUAAAUGGCCAACUGAAAAAUGAAGAGCUCCAUCAAGGUGAGAUGUUUAAAAAUAUUAUGUGAAUUUCCUCUCAACGAUGGGAAAUAUGUGAGACAUGGUGUACUCAAGGGUGUGAUAAAAUAAAAGAGAAUUGUUGUAACCAGCAUUACAUCCAAACCGAUAGGUGUACUGGAGCCCUAGGCCAUUUCAUACCUUGUACUCCUUGGAAAUUUAAUAUUUCAAUGCAAUGCAAUUAUUAUGUUUGAUAUAUAUGGUUAGUGCUAAUCAAAGGAUUAAGCAUAUGAACUUGUUAUAGUAUUAGUUGGUCUGCCCCACAAUGCAGAUCGAGUUACAUUUUUCUAACAUAAAAUAAUAAUAAUUAGGUAACACCAAUGUUUUAAAAAAAACAAGAACAACCUGAGAAUCAUAUCAUUAAUUUGAUUAGUUUCAAUAAACUCAAUUAAUUUAAUAAUAUAAUUUUUUUUAAAAAUUAACAACAAAUAAGGCAAACAAAAAGAAAUGUUAAUAAUUAACUAUAAAAACAAGCUGUCAAUAUCAUACUUGAAAAAAAAAAAAACCUAAUGGAGAUUUGUUGUCACUCCACCGUAGACAUCAUCCCACUAUUAUAAAGAGCUCACUAAGAGGGUUUUAACAACACUGUAAAAGUUGCAAGACGUCAUCAAAAAAAAGUCACUUGUGCCAUUAGAGCAACAACUUAGAAAACAAAUAAAAUAAAAUAUAAUGAAGUGAACUAAAUAAGCAUUAAGUGUUUUAGAAAUUUGAAAUUAAUGAUAUUAUAUAUAUAUAUAAUUGGAAAUGAGAAUUUAUUUGGUAAAGAAUAUAAAAAUAAAAUUUGAUAUGCAUAUUGAUACAGGAAAAGCUGUAGGAGUUGUGUUGCAGUAGGGAGAUACUUUGAAAUCUUUGACCGCGGGUAUGUGUUCAACACCUUAACAUUUUUUUUUUGUAAGAUUGUUUUUAUAAUAUUUUAGAUAUGUUAUGUUAUUUUAUUUUUAAUUUGUAAAACAUAUAGUGGAAGAAAGUAAUUUCUCAGUAAUGGAAUUAAUGCCCAGUAAGGGAUAGAAGAAAUUAGUCCCGGUGAAGGGAUUAAUGCCCUAUAAAAGGCAGAAGAAAUUAGUCCCAGUUUGUAUUUUAGAUUAUAUUUCAACAGGAAAAAACUUCAUGAAUCUUCAAACUUUAAAAUAAAUAACACAUUUUAAUUUGAUUAGACUGAAGAAGUGGACUCAUCAGUUUUAUGAGCAAAAGGUCAUAUUAGAAAACAUUUCACCAUAAAAUCAAAGAAUAAAAUUAUUUAAUUAUAAAUUAAAUUUAAAUAUUACAACUAGUGAUAUCAUCUAUAGCUAAACGUUUUAAUAAUGACUAUAUUGUGUUAAAGAAAAACAUUAGAAUUGAGUAACGAGCUAGUUUAAACGAUAUAAGAAGAUACUAUAUAAUAUGAAAAAGGUUAUUUUAACAAGUGAAAAUAUUAUUAUUUUGUGUGAACGAAUAAAUUAAUGAUUUUCUUUUUUUCUUUUACUUUGAGGUAUAUUAUUAUUUUUUUUAUAUAAAAUUUAUAGUUUUGAUAAAUAAUGUAAGGAAACUAAGUAUUGAAUCAACAAUUAAAUGCAAAAUAAUUAAACUAAAUCCUAGUUUAGUUUAGCAUGUGCAAAAAAUUAGAAUGAAUAAUAUUGUUUUGAUACCUAAGAGUUUUACUAUAAUAUUUCUCAAAAAGUAAAAAAGUUGUCCUAUAAUUAAUUAUGUUUGGGAUCAUACCAAAAAUCAUUAGGUUAUCUUGAGGCUAUAUGAUUUAAAUCAUUAUAUAUAUUUUUUUCAUGUUUGUUAGUCCCAGACUUUUUUUUUUUUUUUUAUUCAUAGUCUUUCUAUCUAGUUAGCUAGGACUAGUACAAUCCCUAUGCUUUGUUAUGGAUGUUCUUUUUCAUUGUGCAACGACUUGAACCAUAGUAGUGUUAAUGAAAAGAAAAAGGAAACAUAAUCUUAAACAUAAAAUCAUUAUACAAAAGUUGCAACUAAAAAUUAAGAUUAUGAUAUUUCAUGCAAAAAACAUAUAUAAAGUCUCCUUGAUAUAAGAGGAGACACGACAACAAAUAUUAACAUAGAUAGUUAUUAAUUAAUAUUAAAUAUACAUGAAGACCAAAAACUCCGUGGAGUGUCAAAAAGCAUGAAACAAAAUGAAAAGGAACUCGGAGUAGAUGUUUCAGAAGUUGAUGUUGAGAUGUUAGUAUAGUUAGGCAAGAAUUCCAUUGUAAACUCUGUCUAAAAAUGGCAUAUGCUUGCAUGAUCCUCCUCCAAUGUUGGCAAGCUUGGUGGUCACUAAUCUUGUAGGAAAAUGAAUGUGUUAGAACUUGUUAAAAGAGGGAAAGUAUCGAAAUAUAAAGGUGUUGGUGUGAAGCUCAUACAUUAAAGCAAAAUCAUGUUAAAGUACCAUGAAUGAGAGCUAAAAGAAAAGGAAAAACAACAGUUUUGAGCUGAUGUAGGUUGUGAUUCUUUUGCAAGACAGUUGGCAUCAUCAACUUUAAUAGUUAAAUUGAAGGAAGAGCCAACUAAUGGUACAUAAAUCAAAUGAGAGACAUAAAAAGACAGUAAAUAUGGACUAAACCUAUGAAAUUAAUCAAUACAACAUGCAAUGCAAUAACCAAUAGCUAAAUGGAAGCAAACAUGCGCCAAAAGAAAAUAGUAAGGCAAUAUAGAUAAAAGCCAAAAGGAAAAAUAUUUUGAGUGUGUGACAACAUAUCAAAAUUUUGAAUCAAGUGCCAAUUUGAUAUCGAUAAAAGGGGCAGCAAAGAAGCAAUAAAUGAAAGAUAAAUGUGCCAUAAUAACAACUUUUUUUAAUCUCCAAGAACAUAGAAAAAAGCAUGUCAAUCCAUUAAUUUGUUUUAUGAAACUGCUUGAAAAUGGUGUUAAUAUAGGUGAGCAAUAUUCUAGAUCUUAUAGCAUCGUCAAGCAAGACUUCACACAUUUGUUUUCAUGAGAAAAAAAAGGAGCAUAACUUUUUUAAAUUAAAAAAAUUAAUUAAACUAAAAAAAUAAAGAAGCAUGACAUCGCAAGCCUAAUAGAAAGUUGUAAAUAUUGAGAUGGAGGGGAAAUGCUUGGCUUUGUGAGGUUGGACGAGCAAAGUCCUUAUCAUCAUCAUUAUUAUUAUUAUUGCUAUAAAAGGUGUUAUAUUAUAAGAAAUAUUGUAAUUUUUCUAUAUAGAUUUAUCCUGUGUAGCAUGUUUUAUAUUAUCAUAUGUAUAUUGUCAGGGUUUUGGUGGUGUAAAACGAAUUAGGAAGGGAAAUAAAUACUUUUUUUCUUUGGAGAGUCGAGAUGAAGAAGAGCAGCAGUGAGACGUCCAAGCUUGAUCGAAAAACAGUGGAGAAAAAUCGGAGGGUUCACAUGAAAGAUUUAUGCUUCAAGCUUGCUUCUCUUGUUCCUCAUCAUUUUUUCAAACCCUCCAAGGUAUUUUUCGUGUAUGUGUGUUUGUUAAGAAGUUAGGUAUGCUAUAAAUUCAUGGGAUCAUAUUAUUUUCUUCUUGUCCAAGUAAAAUAUAUAUAGUUUUUGCAGGUGUUUAAAGAUGUAUGUGGGCUAGUAAACCAUUUUUACAAAUGCAUUUGUUUAAAGUAGUAAUUGUAGGAGAGAUCCCUUGCAAGAACCAUAACACCAAAAUGAUAAUUAAAAAACUGUCGGCAUUUUAGCUGUCAGUAAUCAGAACACCUAUUUCAUUUAAUAACGGGAAGAAAAAAAGAUUAGAUGAGAAGCUGAGGGCCUCAGGUUCUCUAGCUCCCACUUGCGGAUGAAAAUACAGAUUAUGACAGUGCUUAGCUUGCCAUGAUUAGAUUUUUAGAGUUUUCUGUGGUGAUGCUCUCUCUGGUUUCUUAUCCAUUUGAACUCGUGAAAUAAAGGAAACUAGCCAGUACAGUACUAUGUGCUGUUUUUCAUAACUAAUUCAAAGAAAAAUAUAAAUCUGAUGUCGAUGAUUUAUGUGCACAUCUUUUUUCUCUUAAUCAUAAUAAUCAGGGAAACGACCGACGAUUCGAUAUUGAAUCUGAGACCAGAAAAGCACGUACGUGUUAGCCAAUCUUCCAUCUAACAGCUAGCCAGAAGCUGGCAACCCCUAACUAGUGAUAUUGACUGAUCGUAUAAAGUAAUCCCAAGAAAGCAGACAUCUUUUUCCCUCACUAAAAAGCAAACCAUGCAUCUUUAACUAGUGUCGAUUCAUGGUGAAAUCUGAAUGAACACUGGAUCAUACUUGGGCAUAUCACUGAUGUUUGUGUAAGAUUCUAGUACUUGAAAGAAUAAUUAUUUAUUGGUUACUCUUUUAUGCAUUUCCACAUGGC
Molecule: long non-coding RNA, 5968 nt
Filed under: Populus tremula
Lineage: Eukaryota; Viridiplantae; Streptophyta; Magnoliopsida; Malpighiales; Salicaceae
Description: long non-coding RNA (PTRE_LNC001066)
Source: RNAcentral